This 270-nucleotide ribosomal RNA is filed under the name uncultured Geobacillus sp. RNAcentral describes it as "partial 16S ribosomal RNA". It matches the Rfam family "Bacterial small subunit ribosomal RNA", at positions 1111 to 1382 of the family's 1533-position model. The record is from RNAcentral. Lineage: Bacteria; Bacillati; Bacillota; Bacilli; Caryophanales; Anoxybacillaceae.
CUAGUUGCCAGCAUUCGGUUGGGCACUCUAGAGGGACUGCCGGCGACAAGUCGGAGGAAGGUGGGGAUGACGUCAAAUCAUCAUGCCCCUUAUGACCUGGGCUACACACGUGCUACAAUGGGCGGUACAAAGGGCUGCGAACCCGCGAGGGGGAGCGAAUCCCAAAAAGCCGCUCUCAGUUCGGAUUGCAGGCUGCAACUCGCCUGCAUGAAGCCGGAAUCGCUAGUAAUCGCGGAUCAGCAUGCCGCGGUGAAUACGUUCCCGGGCCUU